Molecule: long non-coding RNA, 467 nt
Organism: Hermetia illucens (black soldier fly)
Lineage: Eukaryota; Metazoa; Arthropoda; Insecta; Diptera; Stratiomyidae
Exons: 2
Source: RefSeq, a predicted model, not a curated record
GUUCACCAACGAACGUUGGUGAAUUGCAUGCACGGCCAAGGUUCGAUUCUCGAAUUAAUUUGUUUAGAUAAACGUUCGAAGCGGCUGUCAGGCAGCACAUGAUAUCCUGGCUGUGUUAAAUUGUUAAAUAAUUUUGAGGAGUUAAAAUUUUAACGGCAAUGACCCCGAAUCAACGCAUGUUGCUGAUUCUCGUUGGGACAAUUGGAACUCUGCACUUGGGUUUUUCAGUGCUGAAGCCUCUUCUGGUUCAGGAAAAUGAAGCGAAAAGUGAGAAAUUCAACGCAUUUGUAAAAGAGCUGGAAGGAAAAUAAGGAAGUCCUGCAUAAAGGACUUGCCUUUGCCAGAGAUGUUUUAUCUUAGUCAAAUUUUAUCAGUUUUUGGGGUGGUGCAAUGAUAUUUUGUAAUUAUUGCAAUUGUGAUUAAUUCUAGAAUUAAUUAGGAAAAAUAUACAAUAUUUUGCUAUAAAA